Molecule: non-coding RNA, 234 nt
Organism: Tinamus guttatus (white-throated tinamou)
Lineage: Eukaryota; Metazoa; Chordata; Aves; Tinamiformes; Tinamidae
Source: RefSeq, a predicted model, not a curated record
AAAGAUGAAGAAAGCACAGAAGAUACACAGGCUGCAGCAGAGGAAGAGGCAGAGGAGACAGGAACAGCAGAAGUAGCCAAAGCUGCAGAGGCAGAAGAGCCUCCUCCCCCCAGACCAAGGGAGCGCAAGCUUGCAAACCAGUUCAACUUCAUCAAGAGAGCUUCAAAGAUGCUCAACAACCCCUUGUGGGACAGAGUGUGUCAAUCGGAGCCUACACCUUGUAAAAAUUUUUCA